This 497-nucleotide ribosomal RNA is filed under the name uncultured bacterium. Its description in RNAcentral is "partial 16S ribosomal RNA". It matches the Rfam family "Bacterial small subunit ribosomal RNA", at positions 28 to 507 of the family's 1533-position model. The record is from RNAcentral.
GACGAACGCUGGCGGCGUGCCUAAUACAUGCAAGUUGAGCGAUGAAGCUUGGUGCUUGCACCAAUUUGAAGAGCAGCGAACGGGUGAGUAACGCGUGGGGAAUCUGCCUUUGAGCGGGGGACAACAUUUGGAAACGAAUGCUAAUACCGCAUAACAACUUUUAACAUAAGUUUUAAGUUUGAAAGAUGCAAUUGCAUCACUCAAAGAUGAUCCCGCGUUGUAUUAGCUAGUUGGUGAGGUAAAGGCUCACCAAGGCGAUGAUACAUAGCCGACCUGAGAAGGUGAACGGCCACAUUGGGACUGAGGCACGGCCCAAGCUCCUACGGGAGGCAGCAGUAGGGAAUCUUCGGAAAUGGAGGGAAGUCUGGCCGAGCAACGCCGGGUGGGGGGAGAAGGUUUUCGGAUCGUAAAACUCUGUUGGUAGAGAAGAACGUGGGGGAGGGUGGAAAGCUCAUCAAGUGACGGUAACUACCCAGAAAGGGACGGCUAACUACGUG